GUCGAGCGGUACAGGGGUAGCUUGCUUCCCGCUGACGAGCGGCGGACGGGUGAGUAAUGCUUAGGAAUCUGCCCAGUAGUGGGGGAUAGCCCGGGGAAACCCGGAUUAAUACCGCAUACGUCCUACGGGAGAAAGCAGGGGAUCUUCGGACCUUGCGCUAUUGGAUGAGCCUAAGUCGGAUUAGCUAGUUGGUGGGGUAAAGGCCUACCAAGGCGACGAUCCGUAGCUGGUCUGAGAGGAUGAUCAGCCACAUCGGGACUGAGACACGGCCCGAACUCCUACGGGAGGCAGCAGUGGGGAAUAUUGGACAAUGGGGGCAACCCUGAUCCAGCCAUGCCGCGUGUGUGAAGAAGGCUUUCGGGUUGUAAAGCACUUUCAGUAGGGAGGAAAACCUUAUGGCUAAUACCCAUGAGGCUUGACGUUACCUACAGAAGAAGCACCGGCUAACUCCGUGCCAGCAGCCGCGGUAAUACGGAGGGUGCAAGCGUUAAUCGGAAUUACUGGGCGUAAAGCGCGCGUAGGUGGUUUGGUAAGCGAGAUGUGAAAGCCCCGGGCUUAACCUGGGAACGGCAUUUCGAACUGUCAGACUA
RNAcentral lists this ribosomal RNA (590 nucleotides) under Marinobacter nauticus. RNAcentral describes it as "bacterial SSU rRNA". It matches the Rfam family "Bacterial small subunit ribosomal RNA", at positions 61 to 643 of the family's 1533-position model. The record is from RNAcentral. Lineage: Bacteria; Pseudomonadati; Pseudomonadota; Gammaproteobacteria; Pseudomonadales; Marinobacteraceae.